Otolemur garnettii (small-eared galago) is the source of this 107-nucleotide small nuclear RNA. Lineage: Eukaryota; Metazoa; Chordata; Mammalia; Primates; Galagidae. The record is from Ensembl.
GUGCUCAGUUCAGCAGCCCAUGUACUAAAAUUCAAAUGGUACAGAGAAGAUUAGCAUGGCCCCUGAGCAAGGAUGACAUGCAAAUUUGUGAAGCAUUCCACAUUUUU